This 353-nucleotide long non-coding RNA is filed under the name Pan troglodytes (chimpanzee). Its description in RNAcentral is "long non-coding RNA NONPTRT010620". Lineage: Eukaryota; Metazoa; Chordata; Mammalia; Primates; Hominidae. The record is from RNAcentral.
UUACUUCUCCCCACCCCUCCAGGUAUCUGAAAUAGAAAAAAAAGGAAAUAAUUCUCCCUGAGAGAUUUCUGCCUCCUUCUUCUUUCUUUUCAACAGCAACCUCAACUGUUGACAGAGGUUCCUUAGGAUUCAAAGAACAUUUUCUAAUCCAAGCAUCUUUAUUAUAUCUUUUUCCCAAUAUGGACGUCUUCUUGUACUUUUUAUUCUGGUAACAAUAUGCAGUUUAUGAGGGUUCUGUGGAUCCCCACCAUAUUUUUCAUGAUCUUCAGGUGAGGCCUGAAACACCUAGAAAGGAAAGAAUUAUAAAUGGUAAAUUUCUAACUUACACAGUUUCUGUGUACCUCCCAUUUUUU